Long non-coding RNA from Diceros bicornis minor, 838 nucleotides. RefSeq lists it as uncharacterized. The transcript has 4 exons. The record is from RefSeq and is a predicted model, not a curated record. Lineage: Eukaryota; Metazoa; Chordata; Mammalia; Perissodactyla; Rhinocerotidae.
UCAAACGUCAGAACCACUGAAGGGAAAGUAGAGGAAUGGAAAGAUGAUUUAACUGGCUGCCAGUGCAUGGACUCUGAUGAAAGGGUGAGAUGCCCAGUCUCCAGGUCCAGUGAGAAUUAAAGGAACAUGAGGAAGUUAAUCGCUCUCCAUGAUGCAUAAGUACAUUCGUCAUUUUCCAUGGAGCGUGAUUAGAACUCCAGGUAGCCUCUGGAUACCAUCUAAGAAUACCUUCUGCCAACAUGCUGUUGCAUGUAGUUUGUGUGGAGACAUUGGGAAAUAUUCAUCUUUGCUCAACUAAUUCUGGAAGCCCCCUGAUGCAGCAUCCUUUCUAAGUUCACCAUCAGAGAAUCCAGUCAGCAGUCUCUGGCCCUUUCAACUUGCCAGGUGGUAUUCCAGAGAAGAGAGAGAGAACUUCCAUCUGUGGGAUUAAGGCCUGGUUCAUGGAGAAGAUGUCACUUAUUCUGAAGCUUGGAGCAGAAGUACAAGUUGGACUUGUGAAAAUAUAGGAAAAGAAAUCCCAAGAAAAGGAAACAACAUGAACAAAGGAACUAAUUUAGUGUUGGAAAUAAAAGAAAAAAAAUUACAAAACGAUGUGGUUCUUGGACAUGAUAACAUCAAGAGGUAAGUGACAGACUGCAUCCUUUAUAGAUUUAUGGGAAACAAUCAGAUCUCUAGCUGAGGGGCAAACUACAGCCCGAAGUCUAAAUUUGUCUCUGCCUAUUUUUGUUAAAAAGGGUUCAUUGGGACACAGUCAUGCUCAUUCCUUAAUUUACUGUCUAUGGAUGCUUUCAACUACAACCACAGAGUUGAGAAUAAUUGUGAAGCCUGGAAUACUUGG